This 448-nucleotide ribosomal RNA is filed under the name uncultured bacterium. RNAcentral describes it as "bacterial SSU rRNA". It matches the Rfam family "Bacterial small subunit ribosomal RNA", at positions 329 to 793 of the family's 1533-position model. The record is from RNAcentral.
GCCCAGACUCCUACGGGAGGCAGCAGUGGGGAAUAUUGCACAAUGGGGGAAACCCUGAUGCAGCGACGCCGCGUGAGCGAUGAAGUAUUUCGGUAUGUAAAGCUCUAUCAGCAGGGAAGAAGAUGACGGUACCUGACUAAGAAGCCCCGGCUAACUACGUGCCAGCAGCCGCGGUAAUACGUAGGGGGCAAGCGUUAUCCGGAUUUACUGGGUGUAAAGGGAGCGUAGACGGCGAUGCAAGCCAGAUGUGAAAGCCCGGGGCUCAACCCCGGGACUGCAUUUGGAACUGUGUGGCUGGAGUGUCGGAGAGGCAGGCGGAAUUCCUAGUGUAGCGGUGAAAUGCGUAGAUAUUAGGAGGAACACCAGUGGCGAAGGCGGCCUGCUGGACUGCAACUGACGUUGAGGCUCGAAGGCGUGGGGAGCAAACAGGAUUAGAUACCCCUGUAAG